UCCUGGCUAGGACGAACGCUGGCGGCGUGCCUAAUACAUGCAAGUCGAACGGUCUUUUCUAUGGAAGCUUGCUUCCACUGAGAAGAUAGUGGCGAACGGGUGAGUAACACGUGGGUAACCUGCCCAUAAGAGGGGGGAUAACAUCCGGAAACGGGUGCUAAUACCGCAUAGUUUUCUUGAUCGCAUGAUCGGGAAAGGAAAGACGGCCUUUGUGCUGUCGCUUAUGGAUGGACCCGCGGCGUAUUAGUUAGUUGGUGAGGUAACGGCUCACCAAGACGAUGAUACGUAGCCGACCUGAGAGGGUGAUCGGCCACAUUGGGACUGAGACACGGCCCAAACUCCUACGGGAGGCAGCAGUAGGGAAUCUUCCGCAAUGGACGAAAGUCUGACGGAGCAACGCCGCGUGAGUGAAAGAAGGUUUUCGGAUCGUAAAACUCUGUUGUCAGAGAAGAACAAGUUGGAGAGUAACUGCUCCAGCCUUGACGGUAUCUGACCAGAAAGCCACGGCUAACUACGUGCCAGCCGCCGC
Molecule: ribosomal RNA, 529 nt
Filed under: uncultured bacterium
Lineage: Bacteria
Description: bacterial SSU rRNA
Rfam family: Bacterial small subunit ribosomal RNA
Source: RNAcentral